Molecule: ribosomal RNA, 402 nt
Filed under: uncultured bacterium
Lineage: Bacteria
Description: bacterial SSU rRNA
Rfam family: Bacterial small subunit ribosomal RNA
Source: RNAcentral
UGGGGAAUAUUGGGCAAUGGGCGCAAGCCUGACCCAGCAACGCCGCGUGAGGGAAGAAGGUCUUCGGAUUGUAAACCUCUGUCCUUGGGGACGAAAAAAAUGACGGUACCCAAGGAGGAAGCUCCGGCUAACUACGUGCCAGCAGCCGCGGUAAUACGUAGGGAGCGAGCGUUGUCCGGAAUUACUGGGCGUAAAGGGUGCGUAGGCGGCAUGGCAAGUCAGAUGUGAAAUCCCCGGGCUUAACUCGGGGGGUGCAUUUGAAACUGCUGUGCUCGAGUGCAGGAGAGGAAAGCGGAAUUCCUAGUGUAGCGGUGAAAUGCGUAGAUAUUAGGAGGAACACCAGUGGCGAAGGCGGCUUUCUGGACUGUAACUGACGCUGAGGCACGAAAGCGUGGGGAGCAA